CGCUCCCCCUCCCCAGGUGUCGCGGCUCCGCGCUCUGCCCCUGACCCACGGGCAGCUGCUGUUGGUCUGGUCGGAUGACCUGGUGGGCUCCAAGUGCCUGUGGACCUACGAGAUCCAGUUCGCCCCGGCGGGGGAGGCCUACAGGGCCCUCGGCAGGAGGCCCUCGACCUUCAACCUCUUCGUGUUCAGCCCGGACACCAAGGUCAUCUCCGGCUGCUACCGGGUUCGCGCCGUGGACUACUGGGCCCGGCCUGGCCCCUUCUCCCGCCCCGUGC
This is a long non-coding RNA of Condylura cristata (star-nosed mole), 275 nucleotides long. RefSeq lists it as uncharacterized. The record is from RefSeq and is a predicted model, not a curated record. The transcript is spliced from 3 exons. NCBI's taxonomy places the organism in Eukaryota, Metazoa, Chordata, Mammalia, Eulipotyphla, Talpidae.